Molecule: ribosomal RNA, 240 nt
Filed under: Salmonella enterica
Lineage: Bacteria; Pseudomonadati; Pseudomonadota; Gammaproteobacteria; Enterobacterales; Enterobacteriaceae
Description: partial 16S ribosomal RNA
Rfam family: Bacterial small subunit ribosomal RNA
Source: RNAcentral
CCGCAAGGUUAAAACUCAAAUGAAUUGACGGGGGCCCGCACAAGCGGUGGAGCAUGUGGUUUAAUUCGAUGCAACGCGAAGAACCUUACCUGGUCUUGACAUCCACAGAACUUUCCAGAGAUGGAUUUGUGCCUUCGGGAACUGUGAGACAGGUGCUGCAUGGCUGUCGUCAGCUCGUGUUGUGAAAUGUUGGGUUAAGUCCCGCAACGAGCGCAACCCUUAUCCUUUGUUGCCAGCGAU